UGCGGGACUUCAACGCACAUCCUGGUGA
Molecule: small RNA, 28 nt
Filed under: Bombyx mori (domestic silkworm)
Lineage: Eukaryota; Metazoa; Arthropoda; Insecta; Lepidoptera; Bombycidae
Description: ovarian small RNA-8591
Source: RNAcentral